UAUGUAGGCUGGAUUGUAAGCGUCUUGUGAAAUCCCUCGGCUUAACCGAGGAAUUGCUUGGCGAACUACAGUCUUUGAGGCAAGUAGGGGUGCACGGAACUCUUAGUGGAGCGGUGGAAUGCGUAGAUAUUAAGAGGAACGCCAAUGGAGAAAUCAGUGCACUGGGCUUGUCCUGACGCUGAGAUACGAAAGCGUGGGGAGCGAACAGGAUUAGAUACCCUGGUAGUCC
This 229-nucleotide ribosomal RNA is filed under the name uncultured bacterium. RNAcentral describes it as "partial 16S ribosomal RNA". It matches the Rfam family "Bacterial small subunit ribosomal RNA", at positions 568 to 796 of the family's 1533-position model. The record is from RNAcentral.